GACGAACGCUGGCGGCGUGCUUAACACAGAAUGAAGAAACGAGUGGCGAACGGGUGAGUAACGCGUAAAGAACUUACCUCACAGUUAGGGACAACAUUUGGAAACGAAUGCUAAUACCUAAUACUGUGAGAGAGCUUUGCGUCCCAUUAGCUAGUUGGAGAGGUAACGGCUCACCAAGGCGAUGAUGGGUAGCCGGCCUGAGAGGGUGACCGGGCACAAGGGGAUUGAGGAAGGGCCCGUACUCCUACUGGAGGCAGGAGCGGGGAUUAGUGGACAACGGACCAAAGUCUGAUCCAGCAAUUCUGUUUGUACGAUGAAGUUUUCGGAAUGUAAAGGGCUGUCAGUUGGGAAGCGGUACCAACAGAAGAAGUGACGGCUAAAUACGUGCCAGCAGCCGCGGUAAUAC
This 406-nucleotide ribosomal RNA is filed under the name uncultured bacterium. Its description in RNAcentral is "partial 16S ribosomal RNA". It matches the Rfam family "Bacterial small subunit ribosomal RNA", at positions 28 to 526 of the family's 1533-position model. The record is from RNAcentral.